UAGCCUGGAAUGUUCGACAUCCCCUGCUGUUUUGAACCUACAUUUUUGAUAUAGGGAAUCUGAUAUCGCUGAGAGGAUGACAGGCCUCGCUGACCGGAGGAAGUCAGAGACUCAUCUGAAGUUACCCACCUGGCUGAGGCUAGGAAUCAAAAUCGCAGGAAACGGCAUUUUGGGUUU
Molecule: non-coding RNA, 177 nt
Filed under: uncultured Anaerobutyricum sp.
Lineage: Bacteria; Bacillati; Bacillota; Clostridia; Lachnospirales; Lachnospiraceae
Description: 6S / SsrS RNA
Rfam family: 6S / SsrS RNA
About the family: E. coli 6S RNA was the first non coding RNA to be sequenced, but its function was unknown until recently. It consists of 184 nucleotides that fold into an extended hairpin structure with a large single-stranded internal bulge. The 6S RNA specifically associates with RNA polymerase holoenzyme containing the sigma70 specificity factor.
Source: RNAcentral